GCAAGGCCACCCACCAGAGCAGCUCCUAUCUUGGUCUUUAUCUUCCAAGCUCCGGUGGACGUGUAGCUCUACCACUGCGAGAAGAUUUGUGUCCGUCCCCCUCCCCAACCACGCCCUUCAUUUUGGCGGUGCUGGGGAUUGAACCCAGGGCCUCACGCAUGCUGGACAAGCGCUCUACCACUGAGACACAUGUAACCCCAAUUCUCUUUGACCAGCCGCCUUCUGUCCAGGUUUCCUGAAGCUUCGAGCUUCCCGGGUCCCAUGACUUCAAUACAUGGUCAAUUUCUAGUGUCAUGAUCAUUUCUCAAACUACAGAGAAGCCAUGUUUGCUUUAUUCAUUCAUCCAGCAAAUAUUCUAUUAAUGUCAACUAUAUUCCACUAUUGGCCCAGGCACUGAGGAUACAGAAGUGAACAAAGAUUCUGCUAUCAUAGAGCUCACAAGGGCUGCUCCAACUUGACUGCACACAGCACCAGAACCCCAGAGGCUUCUUAAAACACAGUGCAGUGUUCCAGGAGGCCUGAGGAUGUGCAUUUCCCACAAGUUUUCAACAUUCUGAUGCUGCUGGCCCAGGGCCCCCACUUUAAGAACCACUGCUUUGUUAUAAUCACCCUAAUCUUCAGGGCAUCUGCAACCAGGGAGCUGAGCAUUGCUCAAGGAAAAUCACCCAACCCCACUGCUUUCAUUUAAAUUCAUGAUUACAGACGCUAGAGGAGCCCUCAGUAACUGCCUGGCUAUUCUUUCCCAUUUCCCUAGUAAAGUCCCUUGUCUAAUCUGUACUCUGUUCUCUCUUCUCAAACUUCCAUGUCUUGCCUACUUUUCAGUUUCAGCAGAUAACCUCACCUCCCACACUGCAGGGAGGAACUAGAGUAGAGGCCUGGAAUCGGGAACUCCCUCAUCUCCCCAGUGGUGCUUGAGGCUCCUCUGACUUUCCUCCUGUUAAAAGGGAAGGACAGAUCUCUGUCAGUCACCAGCCAAUCCCCCUCUUGCUCUGCCUCCCAUCAGCCUCACCUUUCCAAGGGCUGUGCUUCUUUAAUCACUCCUUCUUUCUUAUGCCAUUGAUGUAUGUGUUGAUUGGGAUUGUUCCCCUCAUCCCCACCUUUAACCUUCCCUUGACUCUGUGUCCCCUUCCAGUCACUGUUAACAUUUCUCUCCUUCCAGUCACAAAUAUUCUUGAAAAAGUUGUUGACUCACCAUGUUACCUCAU
This is a long non-coding RNA of Sciurus carolinensis (gray squirrel), 1205 nucleotides long. RefSeq lists it as uncharacterized. Lineage: Eukaryota; Metazoa; Chordata; Mammalia; Rodentia; Sciuridae. The record is from RefSeq and is a predicted model, not a curated record. The transcript is spliced from 3 exons.